GGGUCGGCUUAACCGGCCGGAAUGAAUUUCAGUCUGAACCCCCGAAACUAAGUGAGCUACUUCGAAACAAUCUAAAGAACUAACCCGUCUCUGUCGCAAAAGAGUGGGACGAUUUCCAAGUAGAGGCGAUAAACCUACCGCACUUAGAGAUAGCUGGUUACUCAAGAAAAGAAUUUAAGUUCUACCUUAAGUUUCUAAAUUACACAAAAAAACCAUUAAACUUAAGAGCUAUUCAAAUAAGGCACAGCUUACUUGAAUAAGGAUACAACCUACAAUACAGGGUAAUUUUUAUUUAACCAAUAAUAAGUAGGCUUAAAAGCAGCCACCUAUAAAAAGCGUCAUAGCUUCCUACUACUUUAUACAAAUACCUCCCCCUAUUACUAACCCUUCAGUAUUAUUGAGUAACUCCAUAAACCUAUGGAAAUUAUUAUGCUAGAACUAGUAACAAGAAAUAAAACUUCUCCUAAAUGCAAGCCUAAGCCAUCAUAGACAAACUACUGGCAAUUAACGUAAAUGAACCUAUUAUAGCAACUUCACCAAGAAAAACCUAUAUUGUGCAACGUCACCCUUACACUAGAGCAUUAAAGGAAAGAUUAAAAGAAUUAGAAGGAACUCGGCAAACCCUAAUUAACCCCGCCUGUUUACCAAAAACAUCGCCUCUUGACUAAAUAUAAGAGGUCUAGCCUGCCCAGUGACAAAUUUAACGGCCACGGUACCCUAACCGUGCAAAGGUAGCAUAAUCACUUGUUCUUUAAAUGAGGACUCGUAUCAACGGCAUCACGAGGGUUCUACUGUCUCCUUUUUCUAAUCAGUGAAACUAAUCUCCCCGUGAAGAAGCGGGGAUAUAACUAUAAGACGAGAAGACCCCAUGGAGCUUUAAACCCAAUUACACUCCUAAUUACUAUUCCCUCUUAACCUCCUAGGACCCUGUAUUAUUGGCUUUAGGUUGGGGCGACCACGGAGUACAAUUUAACCUCCACGAUGAAUGGGAUAAAUCCCUUAUCCAAGAACCACAUAUCUAAGAACUAGUACACUAACAUAUAAUGAUCCGCUAAACGAUCAACGAACCAAGUUACCCUGGGGAUAACAGCGCAAUCCAUUUCAAGAGCCCCUAUCGACAAAUGGGUUUACGACCUCGAUGUUGGAUCAGGAUACCCCAGUGGUGCAGCA
This 1170-nucleotide ribosomal RNA is filed under the name Mantidactylus argenteus (Folohy Madagascar frog). Its description in RNAcentral is "partial 16S ribosomal RNA". It matches the Rfam family "Bacterial large subunit ribosomal RNA", at positions 676 to 2560 of the family's 2925-position model. The record is from RNAcentral. Lineage: Eukaryota; Metazoa; Chordata; Amphibia; Anura; Mantellidae.